AAAACAUAGCCCUAAGAAAUUAUUUAGGGUGAAGCCUGCUCAAUGAGGAGUUUAAAUAGCCGCGGUACCUUGACCGUGCUAAGGUAGCAUAAUCAGUUGACUUUUAAAUGAAGUCUGGAAUGAAUGGAAUAACGGGAUUAAGCUGUCUCUAUAUUUUUCUUUUUAAUUUACUAAUUAGGUGAAAAGGCCUAAAAAUGAUAAAAGACGAUAAGACCCUUAGAGUUUUUUAAAAUAUUUUGUUGGGGCGACAAGGAAUCAGAAAACAUUCUUAUGAACAUGUGACGGAUUUUUCAUGAUUAGAUAAACUACCUGAGGGAUAACAGCAUUAUCUUUUAAGGUUUGUGACCUCGAUGUUGGACUAGGAAGCCUGCAGGUUAGCUGCCUGCAAGGGGGGUUCUGUUCGAACUAUUACUCCUACGUG
RNAcentral lists this ribosomal RNA (421 nucleotides) under Tubulophilinopsis gardineri. RNAcentral describes it as "partial 16S ribosomal RNA". It matches the Rfam family "Archaeal large subunit ribosomal RNA", at positions 1902 to 2671 of the family's 2987-position model. The record is from RNAcentral. Lineage: Eukaryota; Metazoa; Mollusca; Gastropoda; Cephalaspidea; Aglajidae.